Molecule: long non-coding RNA, 397 nt
Filed under: Felis catus (domestic cat)
Lineage: Eukaryota; Metazoa; Chordata; Mammalia; Carnivora; Felidae
Description: lncRNA (ENSFCAG00000042896.2)
Source: RNAcentral
CUUCAAGUCAGGCUCGGCUAAACUCUGAAGACUGUGCUCGCAGGCAUCCUGGCUUUGUGAAAUGCUGUUUCCAGCUUUCUCCAGCACCCCCAUGUCCUGUAAAAGGCAGUGAGUGGAUCUAGGCCUCUAGACUAAAUACGGAGAAUAUACAGAGAAUACAAGGAAAAGAAGGCCUCGUUCCGGACUUCAGGGAGCAUGUGGGCCAGUAACUUCUGACUGCGGGCCUGCUCGCUCUGCACCUCAGCAAACUCCGCCCCCCUCCCCAACGCCUGUCCCCUCCACUAGGACGUUCUGGAACUAAUCUGUCUCUCAUCUGUACAUGUAGCACAAGGGAAAAAGAAAUCAAGGUUGAACACCAUUUUCUUUGCUAUGCACAAUAUUCUGAACCCCGGCAAGU